Physcomitrium patens is the source of this 623-nucleotide long non-coding RNA. RefSeq lists it as uncharacterized. NCBI's taxonomy places the organism in Eukaryota, Viridiplantae, Streptophyta, Bryopsida, Funariales, Funariaceae. The record is from RefSeq and is a predicted model, not a curated record.
GGUAAGGGAUUGCCUCAAUAGUCCCGUGUGCAAUGGCUGCAGCCAACCGGGUCACAUUGUACGAGAUUGUCCUCUGAUGGACUCUGCCCCUCCUGUUCGAGGACCUACUUCUACUUUUAAUCCGAAUGAUAUGGUUUGUCAUAAUUGUCACCAACGCGGUCACAAAAGCAAAGAAUGCUUGCAGGUUGUGGUCUGCAAUAAUUGUGGAGGUCGGGGACAUUUAGCUGUGGAAUGUCCAUCUACACCUAUGUUGGCGAGACCACGUCGAAGGUGAUGAAGCAUACUUGAAGAAAGACUUUCUUUCAGUUGCCUUGAGUUUACGAGACAGACUUACGGUUGUAGUAUGGAACUGCCAUUACCAAAAGUGUUGCAAUUAUAAUUAAAAUACAAGCUGACUUUCUAGCACUUCUUAUGUUUUGUAGUCAACUUGGGCUGAAAGCAACGAAGCUAUUUGCUAAGAAAGUGUUGUUUAUUUCUGGUUGGACAUAGAUUGCCAGUAAAGGUCUAGAACUGGAGGUAAGUGUGGUUUUAUUGCAAUAAUGUGUUACUAAGCGUCUUUUUUUACUCAAAUUUCACCAACUUUGAUUGUUACUAUCAGUGUUGGAUUGUUCAUUUUUGACCAA